This 253-nucleotide ribosomal RNA is filed under the name uncultured bacterium. RNAcentral's name for it is "partial 16S ribosomal RNA". It matches the Rfam family "Bacterial small subunit ribosomal RNA", at positions 524 to 776 of the family's 1533-position model. The record is from RNAcentral.
GACGCACCGUGCGAACGUUAUUCGGAAUCACUGGGCUUAAAGGGCGCGUAGGCGGACGAGCAAGUCCGGGGUGAAAUCUUUCGGCUUAACCGGAAAAGUGCCUGGGAAACUGCUCGUCUUGAGGGAGGUAGGGGCCUGUGGAACUUCCGGUGGAGCGGUGAAAUGCGUUGAUAUCGGAAGGAACGCCGGUGGCGAAAGCGACGGGCUGGCCCUCCACUGACGCUGAGGCGCGAAAGCCAGGGGAGCGAACGGG